This 2375-nucleotide long non-coding RNA is filed under the name Mytilus galloprovincialis (Mediterranean mussel). Lineage: Eukaryota; Metazoa; Mollusca; Bivalvia; Mytilida; Mytilidae. The record is from RNAcentral.
UUCAUUUUCAUGUAUGACCAGAUGUAUCUUGAUCUAUAAUUCUGUCAAUCAGAACAAAAUUUAAUGGAAAAGAUGUAAGAACAUGGUUAUGUGAAAAAUGCUAAGAGUACUUGCUAUUUUUAUAUUCAAUAAUUUGAGUGCUUAAAAUUAAUUUGCCCAAGUAAAUUUCUUUAAAAUAAUUUUAAUAUGGAGUAGGAAUUCCAGUUUUCCAUGUUUUUUUUAGUAAAUAAAGCCUUUUCUUUUCUAUUGUGAUAUAUAAACAGUGAUUCUAGGUGAAGUUCCCUCCUUCCUUUUUGAAAUGCAAAUCUUUUUACUUCUCCUAGUUAAGUCAACUAUAUUUAAAACAGGUUAUUUUGUGGGAAUUUUUAUAAAUAUGUUAUUUUUGAGUAAAGUAAAUAAAAUAGGCUGAUAUUCAGGCUUCAUGUCAUGGUUCACUUUGAACUAAGUUUUGUUUUUCAGGAAAACUAGAAUAAAAUAAUUUAAAAGAGUGUACUUUUUGAAGAGGAAAAUUUUAAAAAGAUAUUUUCAUGUUCCUUCGGUUUCUUUUGCCUUUCUUUUUCUUUAUUUUUUUGUUGGAAAAAACAACCUUUUCAUCAUUUGUGUUCAUUUUCAUGUAUAAAUGACUUCAUAACCCAAUAAAAGAAUUUUGAAAUAACUUGUAAUGAUAAACACUGCUUGAAUUUUAAAUACGUUCAAUUUUUAGAUAGCAUUUGCAGUUGAGUGUUGUAAAUCUUGUAAAUCACUUUUACCAUAUUUUCACACAAUUUAUACAUAUUUAUGUUCAUCAUUUAUACAUGUAGAUACUUUCAUAUCACAUCUGUCACCCUAAAUUAUUCCAGUUUGGUGCUGUGUAUUUAGAGAUACGAUCUAUCAUUAUUGUAUAUAUACUUUAAAACUAUCUGUAAAAUGCAUCCAUCUUGAAUUGCAUAGUGUCAUAUAUAUGUCUCAUGGGUUAAAAUAAUUGAAAUCCACUUAACAUUUUGUGUGGUGGUCAUAUAUACUUGACCAUUUUAUCAAGAACAUAUUGUAUUUAGUAUGUAUGAUAGUUCUUGGCAUUCAACAAUAUUAAUUUUUUAAAUGCUAAAGCUGUUUUAUGUUAAUAAAGUUAAAACUAUGAAUGUAAGUGUAACCCAAACAAGAGAUAUUUAACAAACUUUUGGGCUGAACUUUCUCCAAUCUUGUGUUACAGAUGUCUUAAAAUAAUCAAAUUUAAAUUUAAUAUUUAGAUAAAUUGCUCAGAUAGAACAAUUACAAAUUAUGUUAUUGAAAUAUGGCUUAUUUUAUAUAACAAGAGGUCAAAAGAUGAACCUUUCUUAAAAAAAUUAAGUUCACUAAUUCUUUUUUGCCAUAUAUCUUUGUUAAUAUUAUUUCUUGAAAAAAAAAAAAUGAAUAUUUUAUUCACUUUCACAGUAGAAUAGUAUAUUCCAGAUAACUACUAUAUUAUUUACAACCAAUAAAAAUUUGGUUUGAAUAAUAAUUCCACAGCCUCUGUCAAAUAAAACAGAAUAAAGAAAUGAUUAAAAAUAAAUGAUUGAUUUUGGCACAUACUGGAUAUUUAUCGUAUUAUAUACAUACAUGUAAUUAUAAGAAAAGGACAAAUGUGUUUAGAACCCUUAAACAAAAUGUGCCCUUUUGUCACAUAUUUACUCUUUAGUUAAGUAAGGUAAUAUAGUUUUUGCAAAUAAGUUUAUACAGUUAUAAGGGUACUACUAAAAAAAAACAGUAAGCGAUUGUAAGUUUAAUUUUAAAUAGACAUAUUUGAUAUAAGAACAGGGAUGCAAAAACAAUGUUGUUAUCAGAGAUAUUUUUCUCUCUUUUUUUUGUAUCAAUAGGAUGUGCUUGUACAUAUACUUUUUGUUUCAGUAACCAUCAAACUUAAAAUUCAACAGAAGGUUAAAUUGAAUAUUCAACAGAAGGUUAAAUUGAAUAUUCAACAGAAGGUUAAAUUGAAUAUUCAACAGAAGAUAAAUUGAAUAUUCAACAGAAGAUAAAAUUGAAUAUUCAACAGAAGAUAAAAUUGAAUAUUCAACAGAAGGUUAAAUUGAAUAUUCAACAGAAGAUAAAUUGAAUAUUCAACAGAAGAUAAAAUUGAAUAUUCAACAGAAGAUUAAAUUGAAUAUUCAACAAGAUUAAUAUGAAUAUAUUUUUAAAGGUAAAUCAUAAUAUUCGAACUUGUUUAUAAUACUGGUCUAUAUUGAAUGACAUGAAUACAUACAUUUUGUUUAAGUAGUGGUUUGCAUAGCUAUAAGGGCAUAUUUUCAUAUAAGGUUUCAAACAUGUUAUUUUUGUUUUACUGUCAUGUGUUUAGAAAUUGGUAUCAUUUUAUGUGCAAUCAGUGGAUUACUAUCAUGUGAGCAUACAGAAAUAAAAUGUUC